This 916-nucleotide long non-coding RNA is filed under the name Mytilus galloprovincialis (Mediterranean mussel). Lineage: Eukaryota; Metazoa; Mollusca; Bivalvia; Mytilida; Mytilidae. The record is from RNAcentral.
GGGCAGAUAGAUAUUGACUUGAUUAACAAUUUAACUUCUUGUCAGAUUUGCUCUAGAUGCUUUGGUUUCAUAGUUAUAAGCCAGAAACUGCAUUUUACCCCUAUGUUCUAUUUUUAGCCGUGGCGGCCAUCUUGGUUGAAUGGCCAGGUCAUCGGACACAUUUUUCAAACUAGAUACCCCAAAGAUGAUUGUGGCCCAGUAGUUUCAGUGGAGAUUUUGUAAAAGAUUACUUAGAUUUAUGAAAAAUGGUUAAAAUUGACUAUAAAGGGCAAUAACUCCUAAAGGGGUCAACUGACCAUUUUGGUCAUGUUGACUUAUUUGUAGAUCUUACUUUGCUGAACAUUAUUGCUGUUUACAAUUUAUCUCUAUCUAUAAUAAUAUUCAAGAUAAUAACAAAAAACAGCAAAAUUUCCUCAAAAUUACCAAUUCAGGGGCAGCAACCCAACAACCGAUUGACCGAUUCAUCUGAAAAUUUCAGGGCAGAUAGAUCUUGACCUGAUAAACAUUUAUAUCCCCAUGUCAGAUUUCCUCAAAAUGCUUUGGUUUUUGAGUUAUAAGCCAAAAACUGCAUUUUACCCCUAUGUUCUAUUUUUAGCGGUGGCGGCCAUCUUGGUUGGUUGACCAGGUCACGCCACACAUUUUUUAAACUAGAUACCCCAAAGAUGAUUGUGGCCAAGUUUGAAUUAAUUUGGCCCAGUAGUUUCAGAGGAGAAGCUUUUUGUAAAAGAUUACUUUAAUUUACGAAAAAUGGUUAAAAAUUGACUAUAAAGGGCAAUAACUCCUAAACGGGUCAACUGACCAUUUUGGUCAUGUUGACUUAUUUGUAGAUCUUACUUUGCUGAACAUUAUUGCUGUUUACAGUUUAUCUCUAUCUAUAAUAAUAUUCAAGAUAAUAACCAAAAACAGCAAAAUUUCC